UACGUAGGGUGCGAGCGUUAAUCGGAAUUACUGGGCGUAAAGCGUGCGCAGGCGGUUUUUCAAGUCUGAUGUGAAAGCCCCGGGCUUAACCUGGGAACUGCGUUGGAAACUGAAAGACUAGAGUGCGGCAGAGGGGGGUAGAAUUCCACGUGUAGCAGUGAAAUGCGUAGAUAUGUGGAGGAAUACCGAUGGCGAAGGCAGCCCCCUGGGUCGACACUGACGCUCAUGCACGAAAGCGUGGGUAGCAAAC
This 250-nucleotide ribosomal RNA is filed under the name uncultured bacterium. RNAcentral describes it as "partial 16S ribosomal RNA". It matches the Rfam family "Bacterial small subunit ribosomal RNA", at positions 524 to 773 of the family's 1533-position model. The record is from RNAcentral.